This 440-nucleotide ribosomal RNA is filed under the name Streptomyces sp. 7BE6. RNAcentral describes it as "bacterial SSU rRNA". It matches the Rfam family "Bacterial small subunit ribosomal RNA", at positions 17 to 473 of the family's 1533-position model. Lineage: Bacteria; Bacillati; Actinomycetota; Actinomycetes; Kitasatosporales; Streptomycetaceae. The record is from RNAcentral.
UCCUGGCUCAGGACGAACGCUGGCGGCGUGCUUAACACAUGCAAGUCGAACGAUGAAGCCUUUCGGGGUGGAUUAGUGGCGAACGGGUGAGUAACACGUGGGCAAUCUGCCCUUCACUCUGGGACAAGCCCUGGAAACGGGGUCUAAUACCGGAUAACACUUCGUCCCUCAUGGGAUGGGGUUAAAAGCUCCGGCGGUGAAGGAUGAGCCCGCGGCCUAUCAGCUUGUUGGUGGGGUAAUGGCCUACCAAGGCGACGACGGGUAGCCGGCCUGAGAGGGCGACCGGCCACACUGGGACUGAGACACGGCCCAGACUCCUACGGGAGGCAGCAGUGGGGAAUAUUGCACAAUGGGCGAAAGCCUGAUGCAGCGACGCCGCGUGAGGGAUGACGGCCUUCGGGUUGUAAACCUCUUUCAGCCAGGGAAGAAGCGAAAGUGAC